CUUGCACAGCGCCACCUGCUGUUUCUUCAGCACUAACAAAGAGUCCAGCUUCAGACAGACUGUGUUCUGGAUUUCAGGUUCUAGUCCUACCACUCCAUGAUCCCCAGCCGCUCCACCUCUGCUGUCAGCUGUUGGUUCCCUUGGCAACAACUGCUCCCAGCUGGACAGAACCCAGACAGAACCGCGUUCGGGUCGGCCCAGAUUCAGCUGACUUCAUGCAGAAAUAACCUGAUUAUGAGCUCCGUUCCAGCAGACUGGCCCUCAGAUUCCUGAUCCUGUAAGCAGCAGAAACUGACGGAUCAUUAAUCAGAUUCCUGCUCUGAGCCGAGAUCCACCUGCAGAGCCAAA
Long non-coding RNA from Poeciliopsis prolifica (blackstripe livebearer), 348 nucleotides. RefSeq lists it as uncharacterized. Lineage: Eukaryota; Metazoa; Chordata; Actinopteri; Cyprinodontiformes; Poeciliidae. The transcript is spliced from 3 exons. The record is from RefSeq and is a predicted model, not a curated record.